GAUGAACGCUGGCGGCGUGCCUAAUACAUGCAAGUCGAGCGAACAGACGAGGAGCUUGCUCCUCUGACGUUGGCGGCGGACGGGUGAGUAACACGUGGAUAACCUACCUAUAAGACUGGGAUAACUACGGGAAACCGGAGCUAAUACCGGAGAAUAUAUUGAACCGCAGGGUGCAAUAGUUAAAGACGGUUUUGCUGUCAGUUAGAGAUGGAUCCGCGCCGCAUUAGCUAGUUGGUAAGGUAACGGCUUACCAAGGCGACGAUGCGUAGCCGACCUGAGAGGGUGAUCGGCCACACUGGAACUGAGACACGGUCCAGACUCCUACGGGAGGCAGCAGUAGGGAAUCUUCCGCAAUGGGCGAAAGCCUGACGGAGCAACGCCGCGUGAGUGAUGAAGGUCUUCGGAUCGUAAAGCUCUGUUAUUAGGGAAGAACAAAUGUGUAAGUAACUAUGCACGUCUUGACGGUACCUAAUCAGAAAGCCCCGGCUAACUACGUG
Molecule: ribosomal RNA, 497 nt
Filed under: uncultured bacterium
Lineage: Bacteria
Description: partial 16S ribosomal RNA
Rfam family: Bacterial small subunit ribosomal RNA
Source: RNAcentral